Molecule: ribosomal RNA, 854 nt
Filed under: Dujonia zeylanoides
Lineage: Eukaryota; Fungi; Ascomycota; Pichiomycetes; Serinales; Debaryomycetaceae
Description: LSU rRNA
Rfam family: Eukaryotic large subunit ribosomal RNA
Source: RNAcentral
UUGCCUCAGUAACGGCGAGUGAAGCGGCAAAAGCUCAAAUUUGAAAUCUAGCACUUUCAGUGUUCGAGUUGUAAUUUGAAGAAGGUAACUUUGGUUUUGGCUCUUGUCUAUGUUCCUUGGAACAGGACGUCACAGAGGGUGAGAAUCCCGUGCGAUGAGAUGCCCAAUUCCAUGUAAAGUGCUUUCGAAGAGUCGAGUUGUUUGGGAAUGCAGCUCUAAGUGGGUGGUAAAUUCCAUCUAAAGCUAAAUAUUGGCGAGAGACCGAUAGCGAACAAGUACAGUGAUGGAAAGAUGAAAAGAACUUUGAAAAGAGAGUGAAAAAGUACGUGAAAUUGUUGAAAGGGAAGGGCUUGAGAUCAGACUUGGUAUUUUGCGUUCCCUUCCUUUUUGGUUGGGUUCCUCGCAGUUUACUGGGCCAGCAUCGGUUUGGAUGGUAGGAUAAUGACAUUGGAAUGUAGCUUUACUUCGGUGAAGUGUUAUAGACUUUGUUGAUACUGCCUAUCUAGACCGAGGACUGCGUCUUUGACUAGGAUGCUGGCGUAAUGAUCUUAAGCCGCCCGUCUUGAAACACGGACCAAGGAGUCUAACGUCUAUGCAAGUGUUUGGGUGUAAAACCCGUACGCGUAAUGAAAGUGAACGUAGGUGAGAGCCUUUUAGGUGCAUCAUCGACCGAUCCUGAUGUCUUCGGAUGGAUUUGAGUAAGAGCAUAGCUGUUGGGACCCGAAAGAUGGUGAACUAUGCCUGAAUAGGGUGAAGCCAGAGGAAACUCUGGUGGAGGCUCGUAGCGGUUCUGACGUGCAAAUCGAUCGUCGAAUUUGGGUAUAGGGGCGAAAGACUAAUCGAACCAUCUAGUA